Long non-coding RNA from Parus major (Great Tit), 1260 nucleotides. RefSeq lists it as uncharacterized. The record is from RefSeq and is a predicted model, not a curated record. NCBI's taxonomy places the organism in Eukaryota, Metazoa, Chordata, Aves, Passeriformes, Paridae. The transcript has 3 exons.
UUUUUCGUCAUAUCUAAAUGCUUUUUCAACUUGCUUCCUGCACCCACCACUUCUGUGAAAGGCUCCUCAACUGAACCACACAUGGGGACAGCAGUCAGUCUUUGACCCUCAGACCCAGUGGUGUGGGCACUCUGACAGUCUGGUUUCCAUGGCAUGGGACAUGAAUGGGAUCAGUGGUGAAUACACAGCAGAGCAUCAGGAAACAUUUAAAGGUGCAACACCUCCUCAGGAGGCCAAUAGAUUUCAUUAGGAAGCAGGAAAUGGCUCAGAGAGCAGCCACGAGCUUUUCAUUCCAGGUGAAGGUGGGAAGGACCAAGAAUGAGUGGUGGAGUUGGGGACACAACCACGAAGACCCUAAGACGUGGCUAGGAGAGAGGAUCACAGGCUGUCACAGCUGACUGGGCUCAGACAAAGUGCCCACAGCCUUGGGCUCACCAUUUAAAUUAUGGAAGUGUGCAGCUCUGACUGCACAGGAGGAAUAUCCUGGUAAAGCAGGUCCUCCUGUAGAGAGGUCUUGCAGACCCCCCUGUACUUGGCAGUUUAAGGUAUUUUGCAUGAGUCUUUCAACAUGUAGGUGGUACUUGAGUAAAAUUUUUUUGGAUUGACCUUUGAAACUCCUCAGCACUUGGUGUGUUUGGUGCUGGGAUUUUCCUCCUGGUGGUUAUGGAAACAAUGCUCAGAAAAGCCCUGAAAUUCGAAUCCAAGUCCUAAUUCCUUAAACUAUCUCAAUUUAGGUUUUGAUUCUGUGUUUGAAAUACAUUUUAAAUCUCCCAGCUCUCUCUUUGAAAACACGUGUAGAAUCCUCUGUCCCUGGAACAAUGGCAAGGGAUGGGGAACAUCUGCACUGGGAUGGCUGUAGCAGGAGUGCUGUACAGUACUGUGUGUCAGCCUGACAAAUUCCCAUUAAUCCCACCACCGUGCUGGGUUUUACCCACACAUAGACAACAUCGCCAGCACGGCACUCCUGACCUCGUCCUUGUGACCCACAAUGUAGACGAGAUAUCUGUGAUGCUGAGAGAAUGAAACGCUUCAGUUUUACAUGAAAAAAGGGUAUUCAGGCUUCCAGGCCCAGGAGUACAAAUUAUUAAUCACUCCUCACAAGGAAUCCGCAGAUGGAUGUUUAGCACUAUUCACCACGACAUAACUGCAAAUCAAUUAGUUCAUUUUGUCCUACCCUGAGGCUGUCUGGCAGACAAUAGCAAUGUCUUGUGCAAACGUUUUUAUAAAGAAGACACAGGGGGAAGGAACCACAAAGGCCAU